This is a long non-coding RNA of Xenia sp. Carnegie-2017, 1930 nucleotides long. RefSeq lists it as uncharacterized. The transcript has 2 exons. The record is from RefSeq and is a predicted model, not a curated record. Lineage: Eukaryota; Metazoa; Cnidaria; Anthozoa; Malacalcyonacea; Xeniidae.
GGUGUAGUAUAGGCUUGUCACCGGUAUAGCCAGUUUAGAAGGUGAAAGGAAAUUAUCAUUUACACUCACUCGUAAAAGGUUCGAUAUGAAUGUAUAAGCCUUGACACAUGAGAGAAAACAGCUUUUUCAGGAAAAUUUGUUAGAUGAAUGAACGAGGGUCUGAAAAGGCUGUUUUCGACAAUCUAGAGGCCCUGAAUUUAAAAUUUUCUGAAAUGUGUGAUUGCGCCAUUUUAAGUUACGCCAAGGUACAUUAACCUAACAAUAUGUGUCAUUGAUGUAAAAUGUUAUAAUCCACAUCAUUAGGCGUAAAACAUAAGUAUAGAACAGGAAAUUUUGGGAUAAUUUACAUUCAUGCUGUGUUUUACAUCGAAAGUAAGUACAAGUGAAAGAAGAAGAGAUUUCAAUAGCAGCAGGAUUUUCGAAAAGACUGUUUGUGUUGACAAUUCUUGGUAUGUGGCGUCGUGGCGAAGAAAAUAAUCUUGCACGCUUAUAGUAAAGAGCAUAAAAAAAGGAAAGAGUCGAAUGAUUUAUAAGAAUGCGUUAAUCUUGUUGUCAACUGUCUUUAAAAAAAUGGUAGACAAGUUUAUUUAAGGUGCAUGAGACAAAUAAUUGGUAUAACCGAUAACAACCCAAUACUUUCGUUCUUCGGUUUACAAUCUGAAUGAAUCAUAUAGGUAGCAAAGAAUGUCAACAAUAGGUCGGAGAGAGAAGUUACUGUUCAUCUUCUUUGCAGAUUAUGAAUUGCCUUUAUAUAAAAACAUGCACUAGCUGUUCCAACAUUUACAACAACAUCCCCGACAUCCCACUUACAGACACUUCACAAAAGCCCUUUUAAAAUCCAUUUCUCGUUUCACAUAAAGAGAUUUUACUAUGAGUACGCUUCAUUGUUGAUCUAGAACAGAGUGCUUUUAAAUUGCUGUCAAAAAAGAGAAAAACAGAAGAGCAAUUGCGUCAUGUCGGUGAUUGCACUCUGCUUUUGUUGACUGAUAUAUUUCAAAAAAGUUGACAAUCUUCUUAUGAAUACCCUGGAAAAGACUUGCUUAUUCACACUUAACCUCUUACAUAAGUCAUUAUGUCAUUGACCGCAAACGACUUCCUCUGUCCCAGACCGCCACUAUUUCCUCUCGGUAUUAACCUUGGUCACUUUGCAACUUCGUUAAAACUCUCUGUCAUAUUCCAAAAAAAAGUUAAUCCAUUUGGCGCACAUUCAAACACGUUCAUUUAUUUGAUGAUUAAAGACGAGGCUUUCUCACAAGACAAAGUUAGCUGCUGAAAUGGUAUCAAAAAAUGGGAUUCAAUGAUUUGUUGAUAAUGCACACGUGAGUUAAUACGUCACAUUGUUAAGUACGUGACGUAUGCAAUGAGUUAUUGUCCGAGGUCGGUCAUGCAAUUGAAACAUUGGCAAUAUCUGAAACGAUCAGGUCAAAAAUCCUUUGGUAAAAUUUGUUUUACAAGUCUUACGCACAUACUGGCAUAAAGAAAAUUUGCCUGAUGAAUGAAAAUAAACUGUCCAAUGCAGCUGAAUCGACUGUCGCAAUGGUACAAGAAGUCCAGAGCAACUUAAAUAAUUCCGAAGGAUAUGUACGAAUACUGACACGCAACAGUAAUAAGUUGAAUUUUCGCAUUUCAUCUAAAGGAAAUAUUAAGAAUCAAACACAAUCUUUAACAAAUAGGGUUUUGAAACCAGCCUAAGUCAUCCAAUGGCCCUUCAAAGUUAGUGAGAGUUGAACCAAGCGGCUAAACCAUAUAUGUAAACACUGUAAACAUGGAAUUGUUAAAAUAUGAUUCAGCUGAUAAGCCGUGAAAAGACACACGGACGGCAGUUUUUUUAACAUUUUUUUCCCCAUAAAUCCACAAUGAGUCUGAUCAUGCAGACAGGCAAGAUCACUUACAAGACUUAACACACAAUCAAAAAAUGCACUGUCAAUCA